CUAAUACAUGCAAGUCGAACGCUUUGUGGUUCAACUGAUUUGAAGAGCUUGCUCAGAUAUGACGAUGGACAUUGCAAAGAGUGGCGAACGGGUGAGUAACACGUGGGAAACCUACCUCUUAGCAGGGGAUAACAUUUGGAAACAGAUGCUAAUACCGUAUAACAAUGACAACCGCAUGGUUGUUAUUUAAAAGAUGGUUCUGCUAUCACUAAGAGAUGGUCCCGCGGUGCAUUAGCUAGUUGGUAAGGUAAUGGCUUACCAAGGCGAUGAUGCAUAGCCGAGUUGAGAGACUGAUCGGCCACAAUGGGACUGAGACACGGCCCAUACUCCUACGGGAGGCAGCAGUAGGGAAUCUUCCACAAUGGGCGAAAGCCUGAUGGAGCAACGCCGCGUGUGUGAUGAAGGGUUUCGGCUCGUAAAACACUGUUGUAAGAGAAGAAUGACAUUGAGAGUAACUGUUCAAUGUGUGACGGUAUCUUACCAGAAAGGAACGGCUAAAUACGUGCCAGCAGCCGCGGUAAUACGUAUGUUCCAAGCGUUAUCCGGAUUUAUUGGGCGUAAAGCGAGCGCAGACGGUUAUUUAAGUCUGAAGUGAAAGCCCUCAGCUCAACUGAGGAAUUGCUUUGGAAACUGGAUGACUGAGGCA
RNAcentral lists this ribosomal RNA (646 nucleotides) under Streptococcus thermophilus. Its description in RNAcentral is "bacterial SSU rRNA". It matches the Rfam family "Bacterial small subunit ribosomal RNA", at positions 48 to 648 of the family's 1533-position model. Lineage: Bacteria; Bacillati; Bacillota; Bacilli; Lactobacillales; Streptococcaceae. The record is from RNAcentral.